This 1000-nucleotide ribosomal RNA is filed under the name uncultured Mycoplasma sp. RNAcentral's name for it is "bacterial SSU rRNA". It matches the Rfam family "Bacterial small subunit ribosomal RNA", at positions 448 to 1455 of the family's 1533-position model. Lineage: Bacteria; Bacillati; Mycoplasmatota; Mollicutes; Mycoplasmatales; Mycoplasmataceae. The record is from RNAcentral.
AACACUACAUUGAGGAAAUGCUUUGUAGCUGACGGUACCUUAUCAGAAAGCGAUGGCUAACUAUGUGCCAGCAGCCGCGGUAAUACAUAGGUCGCAAGCGUUAUCCGGAAUUAUUGGGCGUAAAGCGUUCGUAGGCUGUUUAUUAAGUCUGGAGUCAAAUCCCAGGGCUCAACCCUGGCUCGCUUUGGAUACUGGUAAACUAGAGCUAGAUAGAGGUAAGCGGAAUUCCAUGUGAAGCGGUGAAAUGCGUAGAUAUAUGGAAGAACACCAAAGGCGAAGGCAGCUUACUGGGUCUAUACUGACGCUGAGGGACGAAAGCGUGGGGAGCAAACAGGAUUAGAUACCCUGGUAGUCCACGCCGUAAACGAUGAUCAUUAGUCGGUGGGUUAUUCACUGACGCAGCUAACGCAUUAAAUGAUCCGCCUGAGUAGUAUGCUCGCAAGAGUGAAACUUAAAGGAAUUGACGGGGACCCGCACAAGCGGUGGAGCAUGUGGUUUAAUUUGAAGAUACACGGAGAACCUUACCCACUCUUGACAUCUUCCGCAAAGCUAUAGAGAUAUAGUGGAGGUUAACGGAAUGACAGAUGGUGCAUGGUUGUCGUCAGCUCGUGUCGUGAGAUGUUUGGUCAAGUCCUGCAACGAGCGCAACCCCUAUCUUCAGUUACUAACGAGUUAUGUCGAGGACUCUGGAGAUACUGCCUGGGUAACUGGGAGGAAGGUGGGGAUGACGUCAAAUCAUCAUGCCUCUUACGAGUGGGGCAACACACGUGCUACAAUGGUCGGUACAAAGAGAAGCAAUAUGGCGACAUGGAGCAAAUCUCAAAAAGCCGAUCUCAGUUCGGAUUGAAGUCUGCAACUCGACUUCAUGAAGUCGGAAUCGCUAGUAAUCGCAGAUCAGCUAUGCUGCGGUGAAUACGUUCUCGGGUCUUGUACACACCGCCCGUCACACCAUGGGAGCUGGUAAUACCCAAAGUCGGUUUGCUAACCUCGGAGGCGACUG